Molecule: unclassified non-coding RNA, 938 nt
Filed under: Hevea brasiliensis (rubber tree)
Lineage: Eukaryota; Viridiplantae; Streptophyta; Magnoliopsida; Malpighiales; Euphorbiaceae
Source: RNAcentral
GAAACAGAUAAAAGAUGAAGCGAUGGGUGUCUUAGAAUUCAUUGAUUAUGCUUAUAAGAUAUUUGGAUUCGCUUAUGAGCUGAAGCUAUCUACGAGGCCAGAGAAAUAUCUAGGGAACUUGGAAACAUGGGGGAAAGCCGAGGAUGCUCUUAAAGCAGCUUUGGAGGAGUUUGGGAAGCCUUGGCAGAUUAAUGAAGGUGAUGGAGCUUUCUAUGGACCAAAAGUAGAUAUAAGUGUAUCUGAUGCAUUGAAUAGGAAAUUUCAGUGUGCCACUUUGCAGCUUGACUUCCAGCUUCCAGAUCGAUUUGAGUUGGAUUACUCAGCAGAGGACGAAGCCAAGAGGGAAAGACCUGUUAUGAUACACCGGGCCAUUCUAGGGUCUGUUGAGCGUAUGUUUGCCAUACUAUUGGAGCAUUACAAGGGGAAAUGGCCUUUCUGGCUUAGUCCUCGUCAAGCGAUUGUCUGCCCUGUGUCUGAGAAAUCCCAACCUUAUGCAGAAGAGGUGCGGGCUCUGAUACAUGAUGCUGGUUAUUAUGUUGAUGUUGAUACAACUGACCGAAAGAUUCAGAAAAAGGUACGAGAAGCUCAGCUGGCGCAGUACAACUAUAUAUUGGUGGUAGGUGAAGAGGAAGCCAAAACUGGACAGGUAAGUGUGCGAGUGAGAGACAAGUCAGACCACUCAGUGAUGAGUACUGAGAGCCUACUGAAACACUUCAAGGAUGAAGCAGCAGCAUUUCAUUAGCGCUGGUAAACAUUGAAGUGAUACUGUUCCUCAAAUAUUAGAAAUUGUCAUUUGAAAUCUUAUUUGGAUGAAUGCUAUGCUAAUGGACAAUGCUUGAUCUCUUUGUAUUGGUCACACCCAUAUCCCUUGGUUAUUAGGUAUUUGACAUUUACAUUUUGCUUAAAAAAAAGGGAUAUGGGUGUGACCAAUACAAAGA